CCCUAAGAAGCUUCGGCAACA
This 21-nucleotide transfer RNA is filed under the name Calotomus carolinus (Caroline's parrotfish). Its description in RNAcentral is "partial tRNA-Phe". RNAcentral also lists the same sequence under 1 other name. The record is from RNAcentral. Lineage: Eukaryota; Metazoa; Chordata; Actinopteri; Labriformes; Labridae.